GACGAACGCUGGCGGCGUGCUUAACACAUGCAAGUCGAACGGUGACGAGGAGCUUGCUCCUCUGAUCAGUGGCGAACGGGUGAGUAACACGUGAGUAACCUGCCCCAGACUCUGGAAUAACAGUUGGAAACAGCUGCUAAUACCGGAUACGAGACGGAGAGGCAUCUCUACCGUCUGGAAAGUUUUUCGGUCUGGGAUGGACUCGCGGCCUAUCAGCUAGUUGGUGAGGUAAUGGCUCACCAAGGCGACGACGGGUAGCCGGCCUGAGAGGGCGACCGGCCACACUGGGACUGAGACACGGCCCAGACUCCUACGGGAGGCAGCAGUGGGGAAUAUUGCACAAUGGGCGAAAGCCUGAUGCAGCGACGCCGCGUGAGGGAUGACGGCCUUCGGUUGUAAACCGUCUUUCUAGCAGGGAAGAAGACGAAAGUAGACGGUACCUGCAGAAGAAGACACCGGACUAACUACGUGCCAGCAGCCGCGGUAAUACUCGUCU
This 496-nucleotide ribosomal RNA is filed under the name uncultured bacterium. Its description in RNAcentral is "bacterial SSU rRNA". It matches the Rfam family "Bacterial small subunit ribosomal RNA", at positions 28 to 532 of the family's 1533-position model. The record is from RNAcentral.